Chinchilla lanigera (long-tailed chinchilla) is the source of this 2118-nucleotide long non-coding RNA. RefSeq lists it as uncharacterized. The transcript has 3 exons. NCBI's taxonomy places the organism in Eukaryota, Metazoa, Chordata, Mammalia, Rodentia, Chinchillidae. The record is from RefSeq and is a predicted model, not a curated record.
UCUUGGAUUCCUUGGACUUGACUGUUAAGGACCAGAUGUUUUUUUCUGAGGGAUGCGGGGCAUAUGGGCCACAGGUGAAUCUCAUCAUCACCAUCAUCAUCAUCAUUAUCAUCAUCAUUAUUUUCUUUUCAACUGAGUGAAGCUCAGCACUAGGUUUGUCGUGGAUAACUCUUUAUGCUAAGGACAGGAAUGGAUCAGUGUACUCACAGUGAUUUGUGGUGACUUAAAGACAUGAAAUCUAGAAUAUGUCACAGAAGGAGUAUGACCAUUCAACAGGGGUUAUUCGUGAUGUGAAGUUGAAGCCCGCAUCCUGAAGACACCACUUGUAGCUUAAAAUUCCUGCAUUUGUGACAUUUUCUAUGGCUUCUGCCAAUUGUAGGAGCCCUUCAGAAGGAGGCUCUGGGACAUCGUCUGAGCCUAGAGGGUUAGGGCCAUUGUAUUUCCUUGUCCCCGGGAGCUGGUACUUACCAUCACUGACAGUUUGAAUCUAACUCUGUACCAAGAUGUGGACCUCAGCACUUUCUUUCCGUGAUCCAGGCUUAUGUCGACCGAAAACAUGGCAGAUGAAGAUCCAAUUUGGAGAUGAAUAUAUGGGUAGCUGGGCUGUGGAAAGCACAGAGGAAUGAAGUUACUGGAAUGGGAAAAGAGACAUGUUCCAGGGAAGAGUUUGUUACUUGUGCUGUGUGGUUUAAAACCUGCUGUAGUUUUCCACAAGCUGCCUACGUUUCAGAAUGCGGGAGGAACAAAUUCAGAAGUCAGCGGCUAUCAUUUCAUGUCUUCGUAAGCAAGGCGGUAGGCAGGCGCCAAACUUGUUAUUCACCUUGACCAUCUUGUGGUCCUGGCUCUGUCCCACUGACGUGUGGGAUGCCUGGAAGGACAGGAGUGACGAUCACAAGACAGUGUCUUACUCAGGGCCUUGUACUGAGAGAUGCUCAGGGAAGAUUUGACACUAGUCUUCAUUUUAUCGAGCUGGAACACAUCUGCAGGAAAUCUCCGGUGCUUUGAACAGCAGCCUUCAAGUAGUCCUGCAGGGUAGCUGUUUCCUGUUCUUGCUCAAGCAGGGGACAGACUUGUCUCUGAUGGUGCAAGUAGAGAACAGCCAUUGUCCAGUGUGAUGGUCCUGUUCACUCCCGCAGGGCGGCACAAUACGUGUACUCCCCAGGAAUUGCAGAUGAGGCAAGCGUUGGGGUGAAGACUGUGUGGGGGCCUGGCGGGCUGCACAGCUGUAAGCGCCCCGUCCCUCAGGGGCCAUUCGUUCAACUCCAUUGCUGCUGACCUCUGAUUUUCCUGAAAUGGCACGCAGACACAGCGACGUUACACGAGGGCCGGAAGUCUGUAGUGUUACCGCGAGGGCCACCCGCUCGUCUCCUCUGAUGCUUCCUGGAUCAGGUCUUGCUGUCAUUUCACGUGGAAGACAUCACCUGUACUUAGAAUCACACUGAGAUCUUCCAGCAUGAGUUUUCCUAUUACUGCAUAUUCAUUAAUAAUCCAACCCUCCAUGUAAUUGCUAUUGAUUCUCACAGAGUAGACAUUUAGAGAUUUAGUUGACUUUAUUUAAAGUCUAAAUUUAGAAAUUCUUGGUAGGUGAAGCAUGUUUGUUCAAGGGUCUGUAAUCCAGUAAUUCAACUCCUGUUCUUUCACACAUAAAAUUAAUCCUUCCCAGUAGGUACUAUUGCCUGACUGGAGAAGGUUGAGAGUUAUUGGCAGAUGGCUAUCUGUGUUGUUCAUUGGUAGUUUAUUUUUUUUUACUUGAACAAGUCAAGCAUUUUGGUAGGAGAAUAUAUUUUGCUGAUUCUAUCAGGUUUCCUUUGGCUGUGUUCCAAUUUGUGAGCUUAGGGGGCUUCCUGUGGACAAUAAUUGUGGUUGAUGUGGAGGAAGGAUGAAAUAUAUUACCCUCACCUUUUCAGAAAAAAAAGAAUGUGGCUUUCUUCCCUCCUCUCCAGCCAGCUGUCAGAUUUGAAUGCCUGCCCUAGUUUGCCCUGUCAUAUGUUGUGUUAGUGGGCUGAGUGAUGGGAGCUGGCACCAGCCCUUUAGCGUGAUUGCCAGUUGCCAGACACACCCUACAACUCUUGUCACAGAUAUCUAAGGAAACCGGAUGUUAUGGCUUGUGUCUAGAUU